Long non-coding RNA from Etheostoma spectabile (orangethroat darter), 159 nucleotides. RefSeq lists it as uncharacterized. The record is from RefSeq and is a predicted model, not a curated record. The transcript is spliced from 3 exons. NCBI's taxonomy places the organism in Eukaryota, Metazoa, Chordata, Actinopteri, Perciformes, Percidae.
UACCCCUUCCACCAGUUCCUAUGGCCAGUACGAAUGCAAAUGGCGCAACCGGUUUUGGGGGAGAGUAUAGUUGGAAGAACUGUUUAGAAGUGGACUGUUCCUAUAACUACAUUCCUGUAACUACUUGGUCAGAAAGAGGCUAUUGAUGUGUUCCAGGCA